GAUGAACGCUGGCGGCGUGCUUAACACAUGCAAGUCGAGCGAAGCGCUAAAGCGGAUUUCUUCGGAUUGAAGUUUUAGUGACUGAGCGGCGGACGGGUGAGUAACGCGUGGGUAACCUGCCUCAUACAGGGGGAUAACAGUUGGAAACGGCUGCUAAUACCGCAUAAGCGCACAGUACCGCAUGGUACGGUGUGAAAAACUCCGGUGGUAUGAGAUGGACCCGCGUCUGAUUAGGUAGUUGGUGGGGUAACGGCCUACCAAGCCGACGAUCAGUAGCCGACCUGAGAGGGUGACCGGCCACAUUGGGACUGAGACACGGCCCAAACUCCUACGGGAGGCAGCAGUGGGGAAUAUUGCACAAUGGGGGAAACCCUGAUGCAGCGACGCCGCGUGAGCGAAGAAGUAUUUCGGUAUGUAAAGCUCUAUCAGCAGGGAAGA
Molecule: ribosomal RNA, 438 nt
Filed under: uncultured bacterium
Lineage: Bacteria
Description: bacterial SSU rRNA
Rfam family: Bacterial small subunit ribosomal RNA
Source: RNAcentral